GUGCCAGACUCCUCGGGAGGCAGCAGUGGGGGAUAUUGCACAAUGGGGGAAACCCUGAUGCAGCGACGCCGCGUGUGGGAAGACGGUCCUCUGGAUUGUAAACCACUGUCCCCAGGGACGAAGAUGACGGUACCUGGGGAGGAAGCUCCGGCUAACUACGUGCCAGCAGCCGCGGUAAUACGUAGGGGGCAAGCGUUAUCCGGAUUUACUGGGUGUAAAGGGAGCGUAGACGGCAUGGCAAGCCAGAUGUGAAAUACCGGGGCUCAACCCCGGGACUGCAUUUGGAACUGUUAAGCUGGAGUGUCGGAGAGGCAGGCGGAAUUCCUAGUGUAGCGGUGAAAUGCGUAGAUAUUAGGAGGAACACCAGUGGCGAAGGCGGCUUACUGGACAGUAACUGACGUUGAGGCUCGAAAGCGUGGGGAGCAAACAGGAUUAGAUACCCCCGUA
RNAcentral lists this ribosomal RNA (447 nucleotides) under uncultured bacterium. RNAcentral's name for it is "partial 16S ribosomal RNA". It matches the Rfam family "Bacterial small subunit ribosomal RNA", at positions 328 to 792 of the family's 1533-position model. The record is from RNAcentral.